GAUGAACGCUGGCGGCGUGCCUAAUACAUGCAAGUCGAGCGAACGGACGAGAAGCUUGCUUCCCUGAUGUUAGCGGCGGACGGGUGAGUAACACGUGGAUAACCUACCUAUAAGACUGGGAUAACUUCGGGAAACCGGAGCUAAUACCGGAUGAUAUUUUGAACCGCAUGGUUCAAAAGUGAAAGACGGUCUUGCUGUCACUUAUAGAUGGAUCCGCGCUGGAUUAGCUAGUUGGUAAGGUAACGGCUUACCAAGGCGACGAUGCAUAGCCGACCUGAGAGGGUGAUCGGCCACACUGGAACUGAGACACGGUCCAGACUCCUACGGGAGGCAGCAGUAGGGAAUCUUCGGCAAUGGGCGAAAGCCUGACGCAGCAACGCCGCGUGAGUGAUGAAGGCCUUCGGAUCGUAAAGCUCUGUUAUUAGGGAAGAACAUAUGUGUGAGUAAAUGUGCACAUCUUGACGGUACCUAAUCAGAAAGCAACGGCUAACUACGUG
RNAcentral lists this ribosomal RNA (497 nucleotides) under uncultured bacterium. Its description in RNAcentral is "partial 16S ribosomal RNA". It matches the Rfam family "Bacterial small subunit ribosomal RNA", at positions 28 to 507 of the family's 1533-position model. The record is from RNAcentral.